RNAcentral lists this ribosomal RNA (433 nucleotides) under uncultured bacterium. RNAcentral's name for it is "partial 16S ribosomal RNA". It matches the Rfam family "Bacterial small subunit ribosomal RNA", at positions 29 to 507 of the family's 1533-position model. The record is from RNAcentral.
AACGAACGCUGGCGGCAUGCCUAACACAUGCAAGUCGAACGAGACCUUCGGGUCUAGUGGCGCACGGGUGCGUAACGCGUGGGAACCUGCCCUUAGGUUCGGAAUAACUCCCCGAAAGGGGUGCUAAUACCGGAUAAUGUCUUCGGACCAAAGAUUUAUCGCCUUUGGAUGGGCCCGCGUUGGCUUAGCUAGUUGGUAGGGUAAAAGCCUACCAAGGCGACGAUCCAUAGCUGGUCUGAGAGGAUGAUCAGCCACACUGGGACUGAGACACGGCCCAGACUCCUACGGGAGGCAGCAGUGGGGAAUAGUGGACAAUGGGCGAAAGCCUGAUCCAGCAAUGCCGCGUGAGUGAUGAAGGCCUUAGGGUUGUAAAGCUCUUUUACCCGGGAUGAUAAUGACAGUACCGGGAGAAUAAGCUCCGGCUAACUCCGUG